This is a long non-coding RNA of Paramacrobiotus metropolitanus, 5689 nucleotides long. RefSeq lists it as uncharacterized. Lineage: Eukaryota; Metazoa; Tardigrada; Eutardigrada; Parachela; Macrobiotidae. The record is from RefSeq and is a predicted model, not a curated record. The transcript has 6 exons.
UCACCAUAUAAACUGUUUUAGUAUUAAGCUGUUAACUCAUAAUACUGUUAUUAUAAUUGUAAUAUUUGUUGUACAAACACCGGGUAAAAAACACCAUGAAAGCGACAGCGGGUGUUUUGAUGUUCAUAUUUCUGGCAGCUGGCAUGGUCAGCAAGACGGAUUGUUUCUUCCCGUGUACCACCUUUCCUUCCGUUGGACCGGUGUGUGGAAAGAAUGGGAUCACGUACUCCAGCGAGCGCAUAGCCUACUGUCUCGGUGUCGCAGUAGCUCAUCAAGGCAAAUGCGAGAAAAAGCGCUGCUUCUGCAGCUGCGAUGGCGAUGGAUGAGAGAUCUCGUUGUGCUUUCGGUUUUCCUAGAAUGGUCAGGUAAACCAUUGUCAACACUGUAUCGACGCUGUCUUGUGAGUGUCGCAACAGCAAUCGUUUGCGCCGGGAAAGGUAACUGCCGGUUGAAGCGGUCUGAUGCGAUUCUAACUUUUUCGAACUCAAUUUUCGAACUCGAUUUUUUUAGAUUUAAUAUAAUGGUUCAGCUGCUUAUUCAGACUUGUAAUUUUAGCGAAUACCAAGGCCUAAAAUAGUGUCCAUUAAUGGACAAAGUGUCCAUCAUUGAAAACAGUUUGUCCAUCAUUGCCGGAAAAAGUGUCCAUUAUUGUAAAAUUCAAAUAAAAUAAGAAAAUUAAAUGGGGGUCUAUGAAUUUCAAAUUAAUUUUUUUAGAUUGUUGUCUCCCCUGUUUUCGAGCUGUUUAGAAAGUUAAAACACUUCCCUUUAUGCCUUUUUAAGCGUCUUCAAAGUAAUCAAGGUCAAGGCAGUCAGUCAGCUAUGCCUACAGUCAGCUGUCUAUCUGCCUGUCAAACGCACGAAUACUUACCAUAAGAUUCACAACCGAUAUUCUCUGCUGUCUUCUUGUGUGUAUGAGUACUGCAUUUACAUGUACACUUUAAGAAAUGAUUUUUUGCGGUAACACCGUAACGGCAUGAUCUGUACAAUACAUUACUCCCGUUUAGCUAGCUUAAAAGCAAAAAACACAUUCUCGUUGUCAACCAUGUCGUUAAACGUUCCAAGAACAGAGACAGCGUUUCCCCGUUGUAUCUCAAUACUGAUUUUCUGGCGCAAAAUCAUUGUAUGUACUGCAUUUACAUUGUAUUUACAGUAUAUACCUGGUUUCAAUGGCUUUGCUAGCAGAAGAUGAUUCCCGCAGCAAAUGAAAUAACCAAUAACUCUUUUAUUACUGCUUAAUUUAGGCUGUUGAUUUCUACAGGUAUUUACCGGUCGUCUGCUUACUGACCACUAAGUAGUAAAAUAACACAUGAAGGUUCAUGUUACAAAGAGGAAAAUUAAUAUAUUCAGUAUUUUUAUUCGAAUUUCUAACCAUUUCUUCAGCCCACCUAUUCGUUGACUUCGCGCUUCGCGCGAAGAGAUUUUACUCGAACAAAUGUUUUACACACUUAUGCCAAUUUCUUACAAUAUUCAAUAUUUGAAACACCACCCCGUAUAUCAGCAAAAUUUGUCGUAGUGCGCAAAGGUCACGGAAUCGCUUAAGAUUUUUCCCGCCCCCCUUGGGGGGGGAGGGUGAAAACGUCCCCCCUCCAGGGGUGUCCAUCAUUGACUUUGCACUAUUUUAGGCCCUGGCGAAUACGUUAGCGUUAUAGUAGGCUACUGAGUCACUGACCACCUGUACUUCUUUUUGUAAAGUAUGAUGCUUAGCUACGCUAUGCUUUCAAGUAUAGAUCAACAGGAUUUGCGCCCUAUGGCCAACAAAAACGGAACGUGUUGUUUAACAUGCUUAAAAUUGCAGUAGAGUCAACUGAUACACUGCAAGUACAGUAAAAUCCCUCUACUACAUACACCCUCCGUUCUCAGCUUUCUGAAUGUUGUAAAGAGGUGUAUGUUACAUAGGGGCACUACCCCUGGGGGCGGUCGGUAAUUUACCCCCCAGGGGGCUGUUGUAGAUUGGUCAGUAGUAACUAAGCAAGGUGCAGCUGACGUUUUGUUUAUUUAUUUCAUGCUAUUCCUCCAAAAAAAACUCUGUCGCUUCUGUUUUGCGUACCGUUUCAAAAAGCUACCAUAUUACUGGCAGUUUAUUCUUCAGAAUUAACCGGUGAUCUUUAAUUUUUGAUGCCUUUUUGCUGUUUUUUUCUGUCAGAUCUGGUACUGGACAGAUUUGAACCAGAAACCGGAACUUUCUUUGAAACUUUUCUCAACUUAUUCAGGCAGCUGUAUGUAACGCAGGGGUUGACUGUAUGUUAAAUACUGUCAGCGGUUCCAAGGAAGGUGUAUGCUAUACUUAUAGAGGGGUGUAUGUUAUAUAGAGAACUGCCCCUAUGUUAUAAUCCACCGAACAGUCCGGUUCCCAGCCGCACGUAUACAAUAAAGAGGUGAAUGUUGUAUAAGGGUGUAUGUAACGAGGGGUUUUACUGUAGUGCCAAUGUUUUUACCAAACUCCACGAAUUCGAUUUCGAAGCCGAACGAAACAAGAUAAACCGGUUUCAUGCAGAAAAUUAAAUGUCCGGUCACAUUUUCCAUGUAGGACAAGAGAAGUACGUCCUUCAAUUAAAACACUGAUGUGUUCCUGUUGAGCUGUCUGUUGAUUUUGGUAUUCAACUUUGUAACCGCAACCCAACAGGCGGUUUUCCACGGUUUCAAUUGUAGAUGGUACAGUUUGUUUUUAAUACUACAGCCCCUACCAGUUCAACUGGAUGAUGAUACGAUGUCAGGAUGAGCUGUCGUUUUACUUUGUAGCAAAAGCCUUUUACUAUCACGCAGUGACAUUAAAGUUUCUUAUUCGAGUCUUCGACCGCACAUCACUACUCAACAAUUUACAUGUGUCAUGUUGUUGAAACGUUGAAACGGUUGAAACGGUUGUUUGUUUCGUUGAAACGGUAGUAAUCUUUUCUGCGGAAAGCCGGAAGCAACGGUACAGUCUGUACUAAAGCAAGAUUGUCAGCCAACGAGAAGGACAUUUUGGUCCGUCGCACCAGCAUAAUCGUGGCGCGGCAAACUGACGACCGUUUUUGGAUUUUACUGCAGGGGGCGUAUGAGAUUAAAUUUUCACACUCGGUACCCACCGUCGUUGCGUUUGCCGUUUACGUCCAUGUCAUGCAUGGAAAUUUCAUACAGAAAACACAGUGUCAGUUUUUGUUGGAUACAAAAUCUUUCAUGUUUGAAAAGAAUCGUUGUUUGCAUAGCAUAUUAUUAAGGGAGGCAAGUCAACCGCGCAGUCAAAGCACUAUUCCAAAAAAUUAUGUACCAGCUUAAAGAAAUUACGUACAAUAUGCAUAGCAAUUACGUACGAUAUACGGGGCAUAUGUGCCGGCGAAACAGAAUUUACAAAAAUGUACAUGUCGGUGCCGAAUAAACGCAAAGCCAGACGACGCUGUUCCCGUUGAGUUGUCACUCCAAAUUCAGCGUUAGCGUGAUUUAAUCCCACAUAAUUCAGCACCUAUCAAUAAUUAAUUUAACUGACAGCAACGGAGAUUAGGAGCGUGUAACUUGCUACCAGGGCAAACCCGGCCACUGUACGGUGCUGAAAAUGAAAAAGGAAAUAGAUGCCCAAAAUUUAAGGCACACGUUAUUUCGGCUGUAGAACAGUUUUGCAGCUUUAACAUUAAUAGCAUCCGGCUAGAUAUUUCAUCCGUUCGGACGGUAUUCCCUGUUUACUGCAGCACAUGUUAGUGUAAGAAGGACUGAGGCCGUUAUGCAUAUUGAAGUAAAGCACUUUCAAUUUUGUGUUACAUAGUAUAUCAGUAAUAUACGGUGUAAUUUGUGUUCCUGUACAGUCAUGGUAAGCCCGAUCGACUGCUUAUUUUUCUGUGGCGGGAUGGUUUGCAGCUCUCGCGAAUCGCCGGUGUGUGGAACGAAUGGGAAACGUAUCUGAGCCAGUGCCUAGCAGACUGUGCAGGCACCAAAAUAGCUCACGACGGAGAAUGCAAAAGCCAGUGCACUUGCCCUUGAAAGAUAGGAGAACUCCUGUAACGCUCGCCCUGUAGUUGUAGUGCUAUGUGAAAGGAUGUGGAACUGCACAGGAAAGCGCCCAGCUAUUUCGGAAUGGAGAAUACUUUUUUGUGAUAGCGUUAUUUUUGAAUCCCAUAUGUGUUAUUAUAAGGUACAAGCGAAAUCGCCACCAAAACGUGACGUGAUUCAUUGCAUCUGUUACGUUUCCGCCAUAUACCGUAAUUAUCGAAUUUGUGGCACCCCCGAAAUAAGCGCACCCCCCGUAUUAAGCGCACCGCCGCAAUCAUGUUCGAAAAAUAAUGGCACCCCCCGAAAUUACGGCACCCGGUGCCGUAAUUAAAUGUUAAGUCUAAUAAACCGGUAAUUAGAUCGUAAUUUUUGUUUAAGAUUUAUACGCUAAAGUUAAAAUUUUUAAACGAUUACUACCAUUUGCGAGCUAGCCAUAUACCGGUAACUAGGGCGCUCAGUUUCGGUACAGCUGGAUGCGCUGUUGUUUCGCUUCUAAGAUAAUAAUUCCUGGAAUUUAUUGUUUGAAAAAUAACGGCCCCUUCUAAAAUUUAUUGUUUGAAAAAUAAGGGCACCCCCCGAAAUAAGCGCACCUCCCCGAAAUAAGCGCACCUGCUCCUUGGCAUUCGAACUAUUUGCCGCCCAGUGCGGCAAAUUCGAUAAUUACGGUAGCAUGCAGUAAAUUUCACGGUCUACAGCAACUCCACUGGUAGUAAAGUGACUUUCACAUCACCAGUCGAGCGUUAACGCUUAAAAUAAAAUAACUGCUAAGGCAAUGGAUUCUUUACAAAGUUUGCAACGUACCGUUUAUUUGCUUAUCUUGUUGCAUACGAGAAAUUCUCAUGCAAUACAUUGUGUAGUUUAUUUGUACUGUAAAGGAAAGCUGCGAUUGGAAAAAAUGCUUAAUAGUUGUUCGCAUACAGUUUCUAGUCAGACAAUGGUAUAUCGGAAGCUCAUAAUAAAAUGCAAAAGCCCGAGCGGCAACUGUAACCAGAAUGCUGAGACAGUCAGCGGAAAUACUGAACGCUUGAGAAGGCAGUGACAGAAGACAAUAUCAUUUUCGCACUUUUGCUAACCUAGCUUGAUUCGACAGAAUUCUAGAGUAAGGUUUACAGGUUUCUAGAGUAAGGUUUACAGGUUUACAGGUAAGGCGUGAUUUCAAGGUUUACAGUUUACACGUAUUAUUCCGCAGCGAUCGCUGGCAAAAUGAAAGCGAUUUCAAUUGGAUUGUUGGCUGCUAUUCUGGCAGGUGCCCUGAUAAGCAAGACGGAGUGUUUUAAUAUUUGCUUCAGCAACUUUUGCUACGGCGGUGGGUCGGUGUGUGGAGCUGACGGAACAACAUACUCCAGUGAAUGUCGAGCGAACUGUGCAAAAACCACGGUAGCUCAUAAAGGCGAAUGCGAGAAAAAAGGAUGCCUCUGUAGUUGCUUUUGCAAGGACAGGAGCUCUCCUCUUACGUUCGAGCUAUAAUCGAAUUGAUGUCCGUCAGCGCUAAGCCUUAUAGAAGGACCUGCUACUUUGGGGAUAUUAUUGUGUUUUCGAAUAAAAUGGCUGUAUAAAUAAAUUAAAAAGGGCAUUCUCGGCUGGCUGGGAGCAGACUUGGUGCUGUGGUUUUGGGCUCAUUUUUUACAUCAUCGCUGUUUUGCCUUUUAUGUUGUUAUGGUAAAUAAACCUGAAGAACGGUGGUAUCCAUGAUCAGAUUAUAAUUUUUUUUAAUGUUUCUGUUUUUAAA